RNAcentral lists this ribosomal RNA (324 nucleotides) under uncultured eukaryote. RNAcentral describes it as "partial 18S ribosomal RNA". It matches the Rfam family "Eukaryotic small subunit ribosomal RNA", at positions 1470 to 1796 of the family's 1831-position model. The record is from RNAcentral.
CCCUUAGAUGUCCUGGGCUGCACGCGCGCUACACUGAUGUGUCCAGUAAGCACCUAACCUAUUCCGAAAGGAACGGGUAACCUUUGCAAAGCACAUCGUGAUGGGGAUAGAUUAUUGCAAUUAUUAGUCUUGAACGAGGAAUUCCUAGUAAGCACAAGUCAUCAGCUUGUGUUGAUUACGUCCCUGCCCUUUGUACACACCGCCCGUCGCUCCUACCGAUUGAAUGUUCCGGUGAGCUCUUCGGACUGCGCGGUCUGCAGUUUCUGCGUUCCGUGCGGAAAGUUGCGCAAACCUUAACAUUUAGAGGAAGGAGAAGUCGUAACA